This is a non-coding RNA of Podarcis lilfordi (Lilford's wall lizard), 74 nucleotides long. NCBI's taxonomy places the organism in Eukaryota, Metazoa, Chordata, Lepidosauria, Squamata, Lacertidae. The record is from the annotation of a GenBank genome assembly.
CCCUGAAUAGCUCUGUCAGUAGAGCAUGUGACACUUAAUCUCAGGGUUGUGGGUUCAAGACCCAUGUUUGGUGA